GGGGGGGGGGGGGGGGGGGGGGGGGGGGGGGGGGGGGGGCGGGGGGGGGGGGGGUGCGCCGGGGGGCAGCGGCGGGCGGGGGGGUAAUGGCUAGGAGGCUGCCUGGGAGGGGGGGAGGGCGUCCGGAGACGGGCGCUAAUACCGCAUACGUCCCGCGGGAGACAGGGGGGGCCCGUCGGCCCUCCCGCUACCCGCCGAGCCUAGGUCGGAUGAGCUAGUGGGUGGGGUAAAGGCCUACCAAGGCGACGAUCCGUAACUGGUCUGAGAGGAUGAUCAGUCACACUGGAACUGAGACACGGUCCAGACUCCUACGGGAGGCAGCAGUGGGGAAUAUUGGACAAUGGGCGGAAGCCUGAUCCAGCCAUGCCGCGUGUGUGAAGAAGGUCUUCGGAUUGUAAAGCACUUUAAGUUGGGAGGAAGGGCAGUAAGUUAAUACCUUGCUGUUUUGACGUUACCAACAGAAUAAGCACCGGCUAACUUCGUG
This 484-nucleotide ribosomal RNA is filed under the name uncultured bacterium. RNAcentral describes it as "partial 16S ribosomal RNA". It matches the Rfam family "Bacterial small subunit ribosomal RNA", at positions 38 to 507 of the family's 1533-position model. The record is from RNAcentral.